GCGGAUAUAGAAGAAUUGGUAAAUUCGGUAGUUUUCCAAACUACAACUUAUGGGUUCAAAUCCCAUUAUCCGUUA
Molecule: transfer RNA, 75 nt
Filed under: Caulacanthus okamurae
Lineage: Eukaryota; Rhodophyta; Florideophyceae; Gigartinales; Caulacanthaceae
Description: tRNA-Gly
Rfam family: tRNA
About the family: Transfer RNA (tRNA) molecules are approximately 80 nucleotides in length.
Source: RNAcentral